This 253-nucleotide ribosomal RNA is filed under the name uncultured bacterium. Its description in RNAcentral is "partial 16S ribosomal RNA". It matches the Rfam family "Bacterial small subunit ribosomal RNA", at positions 524 to 776 of the family's 1533-position model. The record is from RNAcentral.
UACAGAGGUCUCAAGCGUUGUUCGGAUUCAUUGGGCGUAAAGGGUGUGUAGGUGGCGCCGUAAGUCAGGUGUGAAAUUUCGGAGCUCAACUCCGAAACUGCAUUUGAUACUGCGGUGCUUGAGGACUGGAGAGGAGACUGGAAUUUACGGUGUAGCAGUGAAAUGCGUAGAUAUCGUAAGGAAGACCAGUGGCGAAGGCGGGUCUCUGGACAGUUCCUGACACUGAGACACGAAGGCCAGGGGAGCAAACGGG